GUUGCGAACGGGUGAGUAACGCGUAGGUAACCUGCCUGGUAGCGGGGGAUAACAUUCGGAAACGGAUGCUAAAACCGCAUAGGUUCUACAGUCGCAUGACUGAAGAAGGAAAAGAGGCUUCGGCUUCUGCUGAUGGAUGGACCCGCGGUGCAUUAGCUAGUUGGUGAGGUAACGGCUCACCAAGGCCGUGAUGCAUAGCCGACCUGAGAGGGUGAUCGGCCACAUUGGGACUGAGACACGGCCCAAACUCC
Molecule: ribosomal RNA, 251 nt
Filed under: uncultured Granulicatella sp.
Lineage: Bacteria; Bacillati; Bacillota; Bacilli; Lactobacillales; Carnobacteriaceae
Description: partial 16S ribosomal RNA
Rfam family: Bacterial small subunit ribosomal RNA
Source: RNAcentral